AAUUUAUAUUCUUUUUGCAAAGAGACAUUGAGAUGAAGAGGCUGCUCCGUGUGACCUUCCUCCUGAAGGUUUUUUCAUGUCUGUCCCAUGCUGUUACUGUGACUCAGGACAAAGCCUUUAUAUUGCUGAGUGUUGGAAGAAGUAUGGAUGAAAUGUCCUGUACGCAUGAUGCAACCGGCACCUAUCGUAUGUACUGGUACCAGCAGAAACCAGGAGAAGGCUUGGUGCUUAUUGCAAUGUCAAUAGCAGAGAAUGAUGCCAGCUUAGAAAAAGAUUUUAAGGAAACGUGGACAAUGACUCGGCCAAGCAAUCAGAAAUCUACGUUAAAACGGAAUGGGGCAGUAAACAUCACGGACUCUGCUGUGUAUUAUUGUGCAGCGAGUGACACAGCUAUAGCAAACUGA
Pelobates fuscus (common spadefoot toad) is the source of this 404-nucleotide non-coding RNA. NCBI's taxonomy places the organism in Eukaryota, Metazoa, Chordata, Amphibia, Anura, Pelobatidae. The record is from the annotation of a RefSeq genome assembly.